Molecule: long non-coding RNA, 1057 nt
Organism: Brassica oleracea var. oleracea
Lineage: Eukaryota; Viridiplantae; Streptophyta; Magnoliopsida; Brassicales; Brassicaceae
Exons: 6
Source: RefSeq, a predicted model, not a curated record
AACUUCCAUCAUAUCGUCUCCCCUCAAUUCAUAUGACGGAGUAACUCAAAGCGAUCAUGGUGGAUAAUUAAUUCAUCCCACUAUCUCCCCUGCCAUUAAGUUUUCUCACUUCUCCUUUAAACCGAAACAACUAUUUAUAUAUGUCGAGAAGGUGCUCUAGAUGAAUCACAAAGCUUCUUCAAAUCAUAAUCUAUUAUAAACCCUAGAAACAGAGCUUGCACCUAUGGCGAUUUACCAGUUCCAUUUUCCUAUUUGAAUACAUAACAUCGUAAGGAGACGUAACAUUGUAAGGAUACGAUUGUCAAACGCCUUCUUCGUUUUUGGGAGGCAAGGACAUGAAGAAAGCUGGUGAGCUUCUGGGCGUGAACCUGGUUUCUCUCGAUGCGAAGACAACGUUGAUCCAAGGGUCUAUAGGAGUUCAGAGACUCAACACUUUCAAACAUCUGCUGAAGGAAGGGUGAAUCUAUGAGCUAAGCUUAUUUGAUGCUACCAAAAGCAACAGACCCGACCAAGAUUGUGGUGCUGAUGGAGCCAAUCCCAACAGAAAAUUUCAGACGUUUUUGGUGAUGUUUGUGACAUCAAGACCACCUACAACGAUGAGACUCAUGCUAUUCAACGUGUUGUGGUUACAGUCCUGAUUGACAGAAGUAUGACCGUGUAUGUUAGUGUGUUUGAUUUGGUUACAAAUUAGCUUCAUCAGAAAUUAGAGGUGGCAAGUUUGGAUCCAAAAGUCAUUGUUGCCACAAACAUAAAUCCAAAAUUAGUUGGAGGUAGGCUUUUCUUGAAUGCUACCUUGGAAUGCACUUCUAUUUUGACAACGAAUGCAUCGCUGGAAAGAGUCUUCUAGGAGCGUAUCGUGUGCAGAUUGUGGUCACAGAUCCAGCAGGCUCUGCCGUUUUCGUUGCUUGCUUUUGAAAGGGAAAAAACGAAGCUGACGAAUGUUCCUGCCACAGAGGUUGCACAGCUCAUGGCCUCAUGGUAUUGUUUCUAAGCUUCAAAUAUCCAUCUCUGUUUACGGUAUCUACAUAUUUUUUAUGUUAUCUGGUUAUUGUCCUGU